Non-coding RNA from Anas platyrhynchos (mallard), 10182 nucleotides. The record is from RefSeq and is a predicted model, not a curated record. Lineage: Eukaryota; Metazoa; Chordata; Aves; Anseriformes; Anatidae.
ACCAAACAAAACCCCCCGAAACACCUUUUACAUUUAGAUAUUCACAGAGCAGGAAUAGCUUUGCUGUCUAGGGUGAAUAAAACAUUUCUGUAAGGCAACAGCUUGAUUGUGAGAACUACUUUAGCCUCCGCUUUCCCAGAAGCAAUGCUCAGCAGGAGCACUGCAGUACCCUCACAGGGAUCCCUCACCAAAGAGGUGUGAGGUAUGUGCCAUUUAACAAGCACCUUGCUGAAUCAAGUGCUGCCUUCUGCAGCUCACUUGGCUGCCUGCAUGAGUUUGUCCUGUGCAAGAGUCCUUGUGAGGCUGGUCAAUGAGAGAUCUUUCUUCUCUGGAGUUCAGCUGAACUGAGCUUUCUUCCUGAACAGUAAAAUGAGGAAGAGGACGCAGAAUCCUGUACCUGAGAGCUAUGAAUAAAUGAAUUUGAGAUAGAGGGGCAGGGAAGCGGCUUCCUGCCCUGGGACUGAAUACAUUAUUGUUACAUGUGAGACUUGUCAACAAAAGUCUCAGCAGGAACUGCAUUUUGGUUGCCAGGCCCCUGAGUACCCUUAAUGGCCUUAAUCAGCCGUAGCUGAGGCCUUCCACCCCACACCCCUUGGCCAGGUGGAUCAUUUAAGCUCAGUGCUGGGGACACAAUCCUCGUAUGAGAGUUGCUCAGCUGCAGUCAUGCCCAUUUCAGGCUGUGGAUGCUAUUAAUACUGACCCACGGACUGAUUUCCUGGCUUGGACUUGAGCCUGUCCUGUCACCAUGGACCUCCCUAGUGAUCCCUGGGCUGUGUCUGACCUGAUUGCCCUGGUUUCAUCGUGGCUCUGACUUGUGCUUCCUGCCUUACCACCAUGAGUGUGCCUGGCUCCUGCACUCUGAAGAGGAUGCUCCGCUCUGCUCUGCAGCGAUGCGCCCGGGAGGACAGCAGUUAAGAUGUGGGCCUUAUUUUCCUGCCCAAAUCCCGCAGGGGAAGAAGCGAUCCCAUGCUAUUCGUUGUUUUGAGAUUAUUGAAGAAACCACUGCUAUUGAACUAGCAGGGGAUCUUUCCUUCUGUGACCUUUGCCAGAGCAUCUGAUUGGUAUGCCCCAGCUGCAGGCCCUAAUUUUCUUGGGAAAGUUUUAAGAUCAUCUGAAAAGCAACCAUCUUCUUUCCUAGCCCUUAACUGACUUGUACGGGCUUUUCCUGGCCUUUCCAACUGCAGUGUGAAGGGGAUUGUUUGUUUUCUUUUUAAAUGCUAUCCUGCCUGCCUCCUCUUUUUUAACAAAACUGUACGUGAAGACUCGCUGUGUAUCGAGCAUGGCACAUGGACGGAGUGGCUGCUUUGAACUACUUUCGGAACAAUGGAUUCUGCUUGACUGAUAAUGAAACCAUGGGAUAGACCUCAGGGAGCCUGAUUACUACCUGAAGUCAGCACCAGCGCUGCUGCUGUUUUCCCACAACUGCAAUUUGGAAUAAGUAGGUAGUUUUACAGCGAAGCAGGGAUUGCCAAGGACAAUUCAGAAUUUGUCUGGCUUCAGUGAUUUUUGGAUCCAUCUAUGAAGUGCCCAACUGUACUGCCUACUACCGAGUUAGAAUUGUGCUUGAGAAGCUUUCAGAGCUGCUGACCAAACCUGUAACGAUGCUGGGGCUUGCUGAUGAAAAUCACAGAGCUCUGGAUGUCUUACUGCUGGUGAGGCCAUGGCACGGUAAGGAAUUGGAAAGCAAAGCAGGGGAGAGGAGGGAAGAAAAGUGUUUUUUUUUUUUUAUUUUUUAUUUUUUUUUAAUUUUUAUUUGCACGUUGAUCUAAGCUUAGCACAGAAAUUAGCUGAACCCUGCAUCUCUGAAUGUGGUGACACAGGAAACCUGAGCCUCCACUUCCUGCUAGAAGUUGGUGAUUGUCUCUUCUCAGCAACUGGCCACGUGCAAUUUCUGCCUCUGUUACCACCUCACGUUUUGCAGUCUGUCUUCUGCUCUAGAGUCACGCUUCAGGACUUGGCUCUGGAUCUUGCUGGGACCAAGCCUUUCUUUUCCAUCAAGCCUCCAUGCAACGAAGGGGAUUGCAGUGCACCCGGUAUGGUCCCACGCCUUCUGAUGACAUCCACAAUUGAGCAUAUAAUUAAGGGUGUAGAUCCAGCGCUGUAUCCUUUGAAGAGCUGCCAGAAUUGCAUAGCUGCUCUGACAGAGGUAUUUCCUCACUGGGGUACGUCUUCCAUAUCUUUGUUUCAGUGGCUUAGUAAGACAGAGGGGAAGAACAAUAUGAGAUGACGAGAAGCAACGUCGUGUCAUAGGUUAGAGAUGGGACGGGGCUGCUGAAGGCUGGAACUGAGGAAUGACUGUGAGCCAAAAGAGCAGCCUGUCUGAUUGGUUUUUAAGAAAUCUUUCCUUUUUUUUUUUCUUUCUUUUUUUUUCUUUUUUCUUUUCUGGGAACAUUUGUUUGGCCUAUUUAAGACAGCUUCACCCUCUUCUGGUUUGCCUGCUUUGCUGCGACACCGUCUUGCACCCCGACUCGAGCCACCAUGCAGUUCCUCCCUGAAAUCUCCCAGCGCUGAAAUUCCAUAGGAAAACAGAAUGAUGUCAUUUAAGUCAGACCAUAAUUUUCCAGCUGUUGGAAGAAGGCAUGUUGUGGUGUUUAUUUCGCUACUUAUAAAGAUUUGUGGCGAUGAGGGAAAUAUUUUACUUCCAAGAUCAUUGUUCAAGCAAUUGAAACUGCUCAUCUGGGGCUCUGUGCCCAUAGCCUGGGGAGGUGGAAGGGAUGAAGGGGAGGCAGAUGUACAUGCUGCAUGUAGGUAGCUGCGUGUAUGGAGCCUUGUAGGUGUUAAGGGAUUGUUUUUUGCAGCUUUGUUUUUUUUAUGGUGAGAAGGAGGAAGCCACAGAACGGGCAGCCUUUCAGCACAGCUGUGCCCAUGCAAACCUUUGGCAUCUCCAUUAUUGGCUUUGCAUUUGGUGAGACUUCUUGUGGAUCAGGCAGGCUCUCACCUUGGCAGUUUCUCAGGUUGUUUCUUGUAUCUAGUGUGGACCAGGCUUGGCCCCAGGCUGCUCGCUGUACUGUAAGCCAGGGCUCUGCAGGUGAUGGAAAUUGCUUAUUGCGCUUCUGGUCAAUGUGGAUUUGAAAACCUCUCAGCAGAGCUUUCCAGAAGCAGCAAAGGCUUCUAGAGCCUUUGAUCCUGCUGGAAGGGAAGGUCCUCUGAGGUUGUUUCAAAAAACAAGAAUAAAAAAGUCAUUCUGUGGUUCCUAAACCCUGGAUUUUGUCCUCUCUUACUGCUGCCCAGGCUUUCCCCAUGCUUUACAAAACUCUUGUGCAUGUGGCAUCUGCAGAGAUGGCCAGGUGUCCUUGUGCCAAAGGAAGGGAGAGAAAGGGGCAAGUGUCUGAGACCCCACAUCGUUUGCUACCCUUGUUUGCCCACCACCUUCCUCGUUACCUCUCAGGUAACGCAGUGGAAAGCAGGGCAGCUCCAACAUGUGAAGCCUUUGUCAGGCACUAGCAGCGCUUCAGGCAGGAAGCCCUGGCCAAGCUCGCCCUCCAGUUUGUCUCAGCACUCCAGAAGGGCUGGAUGCAAUAACGAACAAAAGCUUUUUGGAUGCUGUUGUUGCUCUUUUUUUUUCACUGUGUGGGUCUAUUAAAGCAUCGCUGCCUUUUGGGAGCUCAGCUGGAAGAAGAAAACAGGCCUGGAAAAAAUAACUGCGUUAUGUGAGACCACUGGCUACUGCUGGAACGGUGUCAGUUCGUAGCACGUUAGGCAGGUUCCCCGUGCAUCCGCUGCAAAGCUUCUGCUGACAGGACUUGAGCCCUAGCAGUGAGAGCAGCCAACAACAGCAAAGAAGGGAAGGAAGAAGAAAAGAAGCUGUGGGCUCUGGGGAUCCUGUGUGAUCCUGGAGGCUGUGGGCAGCGUAACGUGGUAGGGAGAGAAAAGGAAACUGGGAACGCUCCCCUGAUGUACCCCGCAGCUUGUAGGGUCGGAUAAGAGGUUGCCUACGUGUAGGGAAGACUUGAAGUGCCUGGCACGAUGUUUUCCACUUCCAAUGCCAGGUUAAGGGAACAGAAGCAGCCCAGCACAGGAGCGCUCGGUAGGUGGAUGGACACAUGGUAGUUACCCCUCCCAGGCUACUGGAGCGUGCACAGAAGCAGAGCUGAAGUUUGUCAUCAUUGAUCGGCUCUAGAAAUUAAAACGACCUCUUGAACUUGACACAUAAAUAUAGGCUCUUCAGCUUUUAACCCUGCUCCCCAUUACCUCAUCAUAUUUUACCAUGAAGGAAACAUAUACCAUAAUGUAUUCUUUGUCACAUAUGGUCCACACCCUUAUGUAAACUACGUUUUCAGUCUUCUUCCCAUGCAGACGCAUUACCCAAUAAGCAUUCCUCAGACAUGCCAGUUAACGCUUUACUGCUUAGCAAAUCUACUGGAUUAACACAAUUACAGUAAAAGCACGGGACAAAAUAAAUAUUCCCCAAAGAACCUUUAGGAGGAUUUUGCCAUUUCUUGGUUAGUAAGAGAUGAUCCCUCAACAGACACCAGACUGGCCCUGUUUUCAUUUCUCUUAUUUCAUCCGUCCCAGCGGAGCAAGAAAAAUAGAUCAGUGUUCGGGCAACAGAAGAAUGAGCAGCCUUGUAUUAUCUGUACUUUUUGCUUCAGUCUGCAGGGAAAGCUGAGAGUCAGGGGAAGAAUCAGGGAACUUUGUGUUCAGCCAACUUCAAAGCCUUUGGUGUCUGGCCAGAUUUGCAAAACUUAAUUGUACAUUUGCAUUGUGUGUUGCAAUACCUUGGAGAUCUACGGAGCAGUUCUCGUUUGGCCCUAUUGGGUGCUUGGCUACUCUAAACGUGCCCGUUAAACAAACACAGAGCUUCCACGCUCACUGUGCAGUGUCCAGUAUCCCACACUCAGCAGUGGGGUGAUCUCUUACCUGUCUCGUGGUCCAAAGGGAGAGAUGAAGGGAAGCUGUAGCAGUGCUCCAUCCCUCAGCCUGGACCCUCCUGAGAUGUGUUUCCCCUUGGGUACCGGUAUCAACACCUGCUGAAGCCAGCAAGGAGGUAGCAGAAGUAGGUGAGAACAGGUCAUAGCUCUUCCCAAGUGCUCUGAAGCAACAUUAGCCAUGUAUCUAAUCUCUUGACUUCUUCCUUUGUCAAUAUUUUCCUUUGAAUCGUGUUGUGAUGGAAUGGUAACGCUGCUUUUUUCCUUCCAGAGACAGUGCUGGUGGAUUUUUUCCACCGCUCUAACUUUUUGGUCCAGUUUGAGUCAUUCAGGCUUGGAAAUCUCCAGCGAGUUUGGAUCUGAAUGUGGCUGGAUUGAUCCAUACUACUGCCAACACUUUUUUGGGGGAGAAAGAGAGAGACAAAAAGAAAAAAACAACACUAAGGGAAGCAUUGGAUUUAUAGCACUCCAGAUGUCAGGGAAAUGAACAUAAAAGUGCAGAUGCCUUAUAGUCAGGAAGACUGUUCAAAUGUAUGCAAAUGGGUGACAAGUUUAUGUGAAUAUGGUUGGGGAAAAAAAAAGGCAAGAAGAAAAUGCUUAAAUAAUCACGUUCUUACUGCUGUGAGUCUUGAGCAUUGAGUUUAGUGGAAGUCAUGGUUGUGAUGACCCAAAGAAGAGCAAGGCCCUGGUAAACAUGGCUGGCUGGGCAGACAUUGAUUGAUCUUAAUGUUCUUGGACAAACCAUUAAAGUGCCGUGAGUUCAUAGCUCCUAACUUAUGGGGCCUAUUGAUCAAGCUUUUCCUUGCACAGCAGUAUUUAGAUUAUUCUGCAAAUCAUCUUCAUGGCUAGCUAUGAGACUUGUCUACAGUGUCUUCAGUUAGGACAGCCUAAAUGUAUGGGAUUUAAGUGAGAGCAGAUGUACUUGCAUGUACAUUUCACAUAUGAGCUUCUCAAUUGUUUGGGGGUAACAAAACAAUUCUCUCUGUCAAAUGUGCUUCCAACUUGUGAAUUAAUUAUAUCUGCUUCCCCGCAAACUGUUUAGGAGCAGCUGGUCUUCCUGGCAUCUUUAUUAGCAUGCAAAGAAGCUUCUCCAAAGUAUGAAAUGCCAAAAGGAAAAGCCUCUGGCUAAGUCCUACUGUGGAUACUCAGAAUUGGGUGGUGUCUGUCUGCAGCCAGGUGAAGGAAAUAGCUGUCAGUGGUCAGUCUAAGGCAUCCCUCUGUGCAUUAUCUUGAUCUGCGUUCUAUAUCUUUCUACUGUUGGAUAAAAACAACUGAAAAUUAUAGUCAAAAGCAGAUAUAAAAUUAAGGAAAACUGAUACAGUCUGGAUAAUCGGCUGCUAAACAGCUUGUAUGGAUCUGUGUCCAAACCCGAAGCCUUUAAAUCAGGUUUCAAGCAAGCUAGCUUUUCUGGAUAUCUUUACUUACAAUGCACAGGGGAUUUCAGGAGGGCAACUGCCAUUAAUGUUACCAAGCAUUACUUGGGUAUGUUCUUUGUUUGUCUGUGAAGGAGAAGACUUGCCAUAUAUGUAGUCCCAUGACGCAAUAGUAGAACCUUUUAAAAAGUUAUUAAACAGGUAGUAAAAUGCUUUUACAAAAUACACUUUGAUUUGUACAGUUUUUAGAAAUGGCAGAGGACAAAACCACAUCCAUUAAAUUUCAAAAACAAUCCACAGAAGAAAAAAAAAAAAGAAGAAAAAAAAAGCUUUAAUUUACAAUAGCUUGGUUUUACUAUACAGGAAAGGUGAGAAAAAUAAUACAAGUUAUACAGCUCACUUCUUACAAAUACCAGCUUAUAUGAGCUAACACUGGCAGUUAACAUCUUAGCUUUUUCUCAGCAAUAAGCUACAUCUGCAGAACUUAUGGGUUGGGUUUUAUAAAGUUCACAAUUCAGAAAUGUCUCUGUGCUAAAGGGCUUUGGCUCUCUAGCUCAGGGCAAGUUUUAUAUGCUACAGUCUGUAAUCAUCUUUGUUUCUAGAGAAGUAUAUGCAUGGAUCAUGGAUUAAAACGUUUUACUACGUGCCAGCUGGAUUUUAUUAGCUGAAUAGAUUAUAUCCUAAACAGGUCAACUACCUCUGAUUUAAAUGCAUGGAGAAUGGGAAACAGCAUUUAUCCAUGCUGUGGGUUUAUCAUAUGAUACUGCAGCUAUGCUUCACUCCCAGCCACUAUCUGAAUGGGAGAGCAGAUUACAGGGUAUCCGAAGUCAACAUCAAAAUGAAUCCCAAUUUAUUUCAAUAGAUGCAAGGGUUGGUAUAAAGAAAUAAAUCUCUGCAGCCAUUGGGAUGAUGAGAACUCGGUGCAUUCUCAGCUGGUUGCAAACCCCUGAUUCUUUGAACAUGUUGCAAAUAGAAAUGGGCAGAGCAUAUCUGAAAUAGCUGGAAUAGUGGUAGGAGUGGAGUAUUUGCUGGCAUGUGAGCAGCUUGAGAGUCUAUUCUCCUCCAGACACAUCAGUUUACCAGAAUUAUUUGAAUGAAACUGGAUCGGAUUAAAUUAGUAAAUCAGGAGAAAAGUAGAGAAGUGACAGGUUGGAAUUAACAAGGUUUCAACCUUCACCGACAAGGUCUGUAUUUGGGAAUUUCAGUAUAGGUUUACUAAAGCAUCUAGACAGUAUUUAGAUAAUGUUUAGGUUUAGCUUUGUUGGGUUCAGUUGCUUGUGUGCAUGUGUGUAUUUCUCCGUGUGUGUCUAUGUCAUAAACAUCAGUGAUGGUAAGGGCAGAAGUUGCAUUCCUUCAUAGCUAAGUGAACAAAUUUGAAAGUGUUACCGUGCAGCAUUCUAGCUGUGUUUAUUCUGAAUCAAAAAUAUUUUAUGAAGAGGUAGUGGUUUUUUUCAAACUGCUAAAAAUAAGCAGGCUUGAGCAUUCUUUAAUCUCUAUUUAAAAUAAGCACAUGAAAAUGUUCCCUGUGUCUACCCUUAGAUCCAAAAAAAAUCCUUCCUAAAUAUUGUUUUAAAUUUUCAAUGCAUUUAGAAGGUCCUCAAAAGUUUGUUCUCUGCACGAGACCUAUCCUGCUUGAUUUGUCAACAGGUGAGAUCUCCAUAUAGUGCAGCCUUGUGGCUAAGAAGAAAUCAUCCUGCUGCAGUGGCAUUACAGCACAGCUAGAUAUAACGGUGUUCUUGCUCUCCUUCCUUUUUGCAAGGCCGCCUCUUUGACCUAUCCCUCUGCUAGUAACUGUGGUAGAGGGCAGCAGGAGGAUGGGAGUGACUGGGUGUAAGGACACAGAAAAUACAAGGUCAGGCAUUCCUGGCCUUGCCAGUUACCUCUGCCCGUACUAAUGUGUGCUUGCCUACAAUGGAAACACAAAGUACAAGCUAUUCAGAAACCAGAGGAGAAACAAUAGAAGAAUAGGUAGGUGUAGUACCUGUGGAUGGAAGGAGUUGUCCGAAGGAAAGAAAGAGAGGAGGGGUAGUGUUACUGCUACCUACUUGUCCUAAUUAGCUGCUAUUAAAUACGUGACCCAGCAUUACGUUAUUGUUUUCAGUAAGGCCAACCUGAUAGCUAUAUAGCCACGCAACGGCUUCCCAAUGGAAGCAGGGGGAAGCUAUUUACUGAUUUGCUUAAAUCUCUGUUGAGCAAAGCAGUGGAAAAUACUCUGUAGGAAAUAAUCAUCCACUGGCAGGAGGCUGGGAGAGGUUACAUAACAGCGAUCAUAUUUCUGUGACAAUGAAUGAUGCUGUUUAUAUAACAUUCAUUUCUGGUCAUGUACCCUAGACUUUGCUUAUUUUUGUCUCAUCCUAAGAUAAUGCAGAAGAUAAAUUCAACUUACCGUUUUGGCCUACGCUUCCUAGAAAACAGUUAAAUGUUUCUUGCCUAAAUUUCUGAAUGUAGGUAUUGCGAUGUCCACAAAUUCUCACUUUUCUUCAAGGCACGCUGCUUUUUCUGUGCUAGAUUGCGAGCAGAUUGUAGCAUCUAUCCUUUAAAAAGGGGGAAGGGGAGGGUCUUGGGAAUUACGUCCGAGUCGGUCUAACCUUGAUAUUUGGAAAGAUACUAGAACAAAUUAUUAAGCAAUCCGUGUGUAAGCACCAUCCAGAUAAUAAGGUGAUAAAAAAGAGUCAACACACAUUUGUCAAGAACAAAUCAUGUUAAGCCAAUCUAAUUUUCUUUCUUCACAGGGAAAGUGGCUUAGUGUGGAUAAGGAGAAAGUGGUGAAUGCGAUGCAUCUUGUCUUAAGCUAGGCUUUUGACACUGUGGCUCAUAUGGAAACUGCAAGAAUUUGGCCUGAGUAACAGGGGAUGGCCAAACUCUUUAAAAUCCUGCACUGAGAAAGUAGUUAGUGGCGCUCCGCUAAGCACCCUGCUAAAAUGUGUAUUUCCUUUUGCUUUCAGAGUGAGGUUAACUGUGGGUCUAGUUCUAGUUGAUAUUUUUAUUACUGAAAAACGUAAGGAUGGUGGGAUGCUGAGAGGCUACAGAAGUUCUUUGGAAAACAGGAUUAAAAACAAGAAAGAACAUGAGAUGUUGGUGAAAAAAAAAACAACAACAAACAAACAUAACCAGCAUGGUGACACUCAGAUUAUUAACCUGCAAGGUAGCAUGCAUACAAUAAUCUGUAAAUAUGCAGAGAUGGCAGCAGGAGAGAAAAUGGGAGUUGUAGAUCCUGGUGAGUAGAGCACAAAUAAAAAAAUAAUACAAUAAUGGCAUUAAAAGAGCAACUCUAAGCAUGCAGUGUGCGAGCAGGAGCGGUGUGUGCAAGAUGUCUCUGUUCAGUGCCAAGAAGUCGGAAGCUGGAUUUUCAGGUCUGGUUUUGGACUUCUGAAAAGUGAUGCAGAAAAAGUGGCUAUCUUCCAGGAAAACAACCCCAGCGCUUCGAGAUUUAGGAAAUAUAUUCUGUGCUGAAAGAUGGAAAGAUUUGUGCGUGUUUAUCUAGAAAAGAUGUCUGAGGGAAGGCGUAAGUCUUCUAGUAGGCAGAAGUUGUUAGAAAAAGGAGACAGAUCUAUCACUUGGGAUGUCCAUUGAGUGUGGGAUAGGAAAUACUGUAUUUUUACAUGUUUAAUAGAAGGCUCUGUAAAAAACAAACUGCGCUCAAGGUUUAGCAGAUCGGUGUUCUUUCUUGCUCAGGCUUAAUGAGAAGUGUCACCCGCCUACCUCUCAGCAGUGCUGCUGACCCUGAUCUCUGCUAGCUGCUAUCUACCCUGAUAGUCAUCACGGCUCCAUCUUUAAUUUACUUUCUAAAGGUGCAGAGUAUCGGUGGAUUUACGUCCAGCCAUCGAUGUUUUCAAAGGGUUGGACUUACCUAAGAUGUGGAUUAAAGAUGUGAAAAUAGAUUUGGAGGUUGGCUCUGCUGGCAGCAAAAUAAGGCUCUUGGUUGUUUAAACAAUGUCUGU